This 470-nucleotide long non-coding RNA is filed under the name Lotus japonicus. RNAcentral describes it as "long non-coding RNA (LJAP_LNC000704)". The record is from RNAcentral. Lineage: Eukaryota; Viridiplantae; Streptophyta; Magnoliopsida; Fabales; Fabaceae.
GUAUGGGUGAUGGGUGGCUAGCUACACCCUCAUAUUGUGAGAAUUUGAAGACCUUGAGGUUCCAGUAUUGUAAGAUCAUGGAUCAAAAUCCAGGUAUGAAGGAGUAUUUAUUUGGGUUCUUGUCCUGCACUUGAAAAACUUCAUUAGUAGAAAUGUCAUCAAUUGUUGAGAUAAGAAGAGCAUUGCAACUAUGGUUUCUAUAUUCAAGGCUGUCAGCGAGAUUAUUCUUCAGUUGAGUUUGCUUUUUUCCACAGGUCAUGCCUGGGUGACUGAUGUGCUAAUCCUGAACUCAUAUAGGUACCAUUCUCAAACCUCUAGAUGGCUCCUCUCAUUUUCUUUUAUAUUCAUCACUAUAAUUGGACUCUUUGGGUGGGUAAAUUUUCAUGUAGUUGUUAUGUAAGCCUGAUGCAGCAGCGGAUGAAGCUGACUCUUGGCUAUCUUGAGCUUCAACAGUGGCUUGUCUCAUCAAG